Molecule: unclassified non-coding RNA, 223 nt
Filed under: Hevea brasiliensis (rubber tree)
Lineage: Eukaryota; Viridiplantae; Streptophyta; Magnoliopsida; Malpighiales; Euphorbiaceae
Source: RNAcentral
UUUUUUUUUUUUUUAAAUUAUUUAUAUAUUAUACAUAGAAUGUUCCUUUACAAAUAAAUACCACUUCAGAGAGAAAGAACCCUUGAGUCUGAACUAGUUAUGCAAAAUGCGUCAACUCUGCAUAUGGGCCAUUUUGUAGUUCAUUCUGCCCUUGGUUUCCCCAUACUCAAAGGUGAAAUGCCUAUAUCUUUUUCUGAACUGCAGUUCCAUUAUGCUGUCUUCU